RNAcentral lists this ribosomal RNA (350 nucleotides) under uncultured bacterium. RNAcentral's name for it is "bacterial SSU rRNA". It matches the Rfam family "Bacterial small subunit ribosomal RNA", at positions 917 to 1267 of the family's 1533-position model. The record is from RNAcentral.
GGGCCCGCACAAGCGGUGGAGUAUGUGGUUUAAUUCGAUGCAACGCGAAGAACCUUACCAGGGUUUGACAUCCUGCGAAUCUCUUGGAAACUUGAGAGUGCCUUCGGGAGCGCAGUGACAGGUGGUGCAUGGCUGUCGUCAGCUCGUGUCGUGAGAUGUUGGGUUAAGUCCUAUAACGAGCGCAACCCCUAUCGUUAGUUGCCAGCGAGUAAUGUCGGGAACUCUAACGAAACUGCCAGUGCAAACUGUGAGGAAGGUGGGGAUGACGUCAAAUCAUCACGGCCCUUACGUCCUGGCUACACACGUGCUACAAUGGCCGGUACAGAGAGCAGCCACUUCGCAAGAAGGAG